This 552-nucleotide ribosomal RNA is filed under the name uncultured bacterium. RNAcentral's name for it is "bacterial SSU rRNA". It matches the Rfam family "Bacterial small subunit ribosomal RNA", at positions 355 to 896 of the family's 1533-position model. The record is from RNAcentral.
UAGGGAAUCUUCGGGCAAUGGGGGCAACCCUGACCGAGCAACGCCGCGUGAGUGAAGAAGGUUUUCCGGAUCGUAAAGCUCUGUUGUAAGUCAAGAACGAGUGUGAGAGUGGAAAGUUCACACUGUGACGGUAGCUUACCAGAAAGGGACGGCUAACUACGUGCCAGCAGCCGCGGUAAUACGUAGGUCCCGAGCGUUGUCCGGAUUUAUUGGGCGUAAAGCGAGCGCAGGCGGUUUGAUAAGUUUGAAGUUAAAGGCUGAGGUUCACCCAUAGUUCACUUUGGAAACUGUCAAACUCGAGUGCAGAAGGGGAGAGUGGAAUUCCAUGUGUAGCGGUGAAAUGCGUAGAUAUAUGGAGGAACACCGGUGGCGAAAGCGGCUCUCUGGUCUGUAACUGACGCUGAGGCUUGAAAGCGUGGGGNGCGAACAGGAUUAGAUACCCUGGUAGUUCACGCCGUAAACGAUGAGUGCUAGCUGUUGGAUCCUUUCCGGGAUUCAUUGCCGCAGCUAACGCAUUAAUCACUCCGCCUGGGGAGUACGACAGCAAGGUUG